This 247-nucleotide ribosomal RNA is filed under the name uncultured bacterium. RNAcentral describes it as "partial 16S ribosomal RNA". It matches the Rfam family "Bacterial small subunit ribosomal RNA", at positions 796 to 1041 of the family's 1533-position model. The record is from RNAcentral.
CACGCCGUAAACGAUGCAUACUAGGAAUAUGGAGAAUCGACCCUCUGUGUUUCGAAGCUAACGCGUUAAGUAUGCCGCCUGGGUAGUACGGCCGCAAGGCUAAAACUCAAAGGAAUUGACGGGGACCCGCACAAGCGGUGGAACAUGUGGCUUAAUUCGAUAACAACCGAAGAACCUCACCAGGACUUGACAUCUAGAGAAUCCCUGUGAAAGCAGGGAGUGCCGCAAGGAACUCUAAGACAGGUGU